RNAcentral lists this ribosomal RNA (429 nucleotides) under Gemmatimonadota bacterium. Its description in RNAcentral is "Gemmatimonadetes bacterium partial 16S ribosomal RNA". It matches the Rfam family "Bacterial small subunit ribosomal RNA", at positions 355 to 776 of the family's 1533-position model. Lineage: Bacteria; Pseudomonadati; Gemmatimonadota. The record is from RNAcentral.
UAGGGAAUCUUCGGCAAUGGACGAAAGUCUGACCGAGCAACGCCGCGUGAGUGAAGAAGGCUUUCGGAUCGUAAAACUCUGUUUUUAGAGAAGAACAAGGACGUUAGUAACUGAACGUCCCCUGACGGUAUCUAACCAGAAAGCCACGUCUAACUACGUGCCAGCAGCCGCGGUAAUACGUAGGUGGCAAGCGUUGUCCGGAUUUAUUGGGCGUAAAGCGAGCGCAGGCGGUUUCUUAAGUCUGAUGUGAAAGCCCCCGGCUCAACCGGGGAGGGUCAUUAGAAACUGGGAGACUUGAGUGCAGAAGAGGAGAGUGGAAUUCCAAGUGUGGCGGUGAAAUGCGUAGAUAUAUGGAGGAACACCAGUGGCGAAGGCGGCUCUCUGGUCUGUAACUGACGCUGAGGCUCGAAAGCGAGGGGAGCGAACAGG